GUGCUUGCUUCAGCAGCACAUAUACUAAAAUUGGAACCAUACAGAGAAGAAUAGCAUGGCCCAUACGCAAGGAUGGCACACAAAUUCGUGAAACACUCCAAAUUUUU
This 107-nucleotide small nuclear RNA is filed under the name Dasypus novemcinctus (nine-banded armadillo). The record is from RNAcentral. Lineage: Eukaryota; Metazoa; Chordata; Mammalia; Cingulata; Dasypodidae.